Molecule: ribosomal RNA, 372 nt
Filed under: uncultured eukaryote
Lineage: Eukaryota
Description: partial 18S ribosomal RNA
Rfam family: Eukaryotic small subunit ribosomal RNA
Source: RNAcentral
CAAUAGCGUAUAUUUAAGUUGUUGCAGUUAAAAAGCUCGUAGUUGGAUUUCGGUUGAGAACGGCCGGUCCGCCGUUUGGUGUGCACUGGCUGGUUUCAACUUCCUGUAGAGGACGUGCUCUGGCUUCACGGCUGGACGCGGAGUCUACGUGGUUACUUUGAAAAAAUUAGAGUGUUCAAAGCGGGCUUACGCUUGAAUAUUUCAGCAUGGAAUAACACUAUAGGACUCCUGUCCUAUCUCGUUGGUCUCGGGACGGGAGUAAUGAUUAAGAGGAACAGUUGGGGGCAUUCGUAUUUCAUUGUCAGAGGUGAAAUUCUUGGAUUUAUGAAAGACGAACUUCUGCGAAAGCAUUUGCCAAGGAUGUUUUCAUUA